AUUGAACGCUGGCGGCAUGCUUUACACAUGCAAGUCGAACGGCAGCACGGGAGUAAUCCUGGUGGCGAGUGGCGAACGGGUGAGUAAUAUAUCGGAACAUGUCCGGAAGUGGGGGAUAACGUAGCGAAAGUUACGCUAAUACCGCAUAUGCCCUGAGGGGGAAAGGAGGGGAUCGUAAGACCUUUCGCUUUCGGAGUGGCCGAUAUCAGAUUAGCUAGUUGGUGAGGUAAAGGCUCACCAAGGCGACGAUCUGUAGCGGGUCUGAGAGGAUGAUCCGCCACACUGGAACUGAGA
Molecule: ribosomal RNA, 294 nt
Filed under: uncultured bacterium
Lineage: Bacteria
Description: partial 16S ribosomal RNA
Rfam family: Bacterial small subunit ribosomal RNA
Source: RNAcentral